Molecule: ribosomal RNA, 651 nt
Filed under: Triticum aestivum (bread wheat)
Lineage: Eukaryota; Viridiplantae; Streptophyta; Magnoliopsida; Poales; Poaceae
Description: partial small subunit ribosomal RNA
Source: RNAcentral
AUGGCCAUUGCUGCUUUCUAGCACUUCUCUGUUGUCCUGAGCACUGCUAGCGACCGCACCUGCAUGCUUAAUCUACGCAAAAUGCACCUAGGCGCAUUCGAUCUUGCGGCCCUCGAGAUCCCUUUCACCGAGGAGGAGAUAUGGACUGCUGUCAAAAGCCUACCAUCCGGCAAGGCUCCCAGCCCCGACGGAUUCUCGGUGGAGUCCCUCCGCUCGUGUUGGCCGGUGAUCAAGGAGGAUAUCUACGCAGCCUUUGACAAACUUUACGCCAUGAAUGGGCAAGGAUUCCAGAAGCUGAAUGAGGCCUUCAUUACUUUGUUGCUGAAACGACCCGACGCCUCCACGCUCGGUGACUACAGGUCAAUCAGCCUGAUACAUCUCUUUGCUAAGUUGUUCGCCAGAGAGGUUUCUCUCCGCCAGGCGCCAAAACUACACACAAUGAUCUCAAUCAACCAGAGUGCAUUCAUUUCUGGUCGGUGCAUCCACGACAAUUUCUUGUUGGUCCAGCAGACGGCGCGCCUACUUCACAACCUGAAGCUUCCUCGGUUCCUCUUGAAACUUGACAUCGCCCGCGCUUUUGACUCUGUUUCUUGGGCAUUCAUCUUGGAGGUCCUAAAACACCUAGGAUUUGGCAACCGAUGGCAUGAAUAG